Molecule: ribosomal RNA, 253 nt
Filed under: uncultured bacterium
Lineage: Bacteria
Description: partial 16S ribosomal RNA
Rfam family: Bacterial small subunit ribosomal RNA
Source: RNAcentral
UACGUAGGGUGCAAGCGUUGUCCGGAAUUAUUGGGCGUAAAGAGCUUGUAGGCGGUUUGUCGCGUCUGCUGUGAAAUUUCGGGGCUCAACCCCGAACUUGCAGUGGGUACGGGCAGACUAGAGUGUGGUAGGGGAGACUGGAAUUCCUGGUGUAGCGGUGAAAUGCGCAGAUAUCAGGAGGAACACCGAUGGCGAAGGCAGGUCUCUGGGCCAUAACUGACGCUGGGAAGCGAAAGCAUGGGGAGCGAACAGG